UAAAUACUCCCUCCAUUCCAAAUUACUCGUCGCAGAACAGAUGUAUCUAGAACUAAAAUACAUCUAGAUACAUCCAUACCUGCGACAAGUAAUUUGGAACGGAGGGAGUAUAAG
Triticum aestivum (bread wheat) is the source of this 114-nucleotide non-coding RNA. NCBI's taxonomy places the organism in Eukaryota, Viridiplantae, Streptophyta, Magnoliopsida, Poales, Poaceae. The record is from Rfam.